Molecule: transfer RNA, 74 nt
Filed under: Caulobacter sp.
Lineage: Bacteria; Pseudomonadati; Pseudomonadota; Alphaproteobacteria; Caulobacterales; Caulobacteraceae
Also listed under: 18 other names
Description: tRNA-Gln
Rfam family: tRNA
About the family: Transfer RNA (tRNA) molecules are approximately 80 nucleotides in length. Their secondary structure includes four short double-helical elements and three loops (D, anti-codon, and T loops).
Source: RNAcentral
UGGGGAAUGGUGUAAUGGUAACACAGCGGUUUUUGGUACCGUCAUUCUAGGUUCGAGUCCUAGUUCCCCAGCCA